Molecule: ribosomal RNA, 468 nt
Filed under: uncultured bacterium
Lineage: Bacteria
Description: partial 16S ribosomal RNA
Rfam family: Bacterial small subunit ribosomal RNA
Source: RNAcentral
GAUGAACGCUGGCGGCGUGCUUAACACAUGCAAGUCGAACGGAAAGGCCCAAGCUUGCUUGGGUACUCGAGUGGCGAACGGGUGAGUAACGCGUGGGUGAUCUGCCCUGCACUUCGGGAUAAGCCUGGGAAACUGGGUCUAAUACCGGAUAGGACGAUGGUUUGGAUGCCAUUGUGGAAAGUUUUUUCGGUGUGGGAUGAGCUCGCGGCCUAUCAGCUUGUUGGUGGGGUAAUGGCCUACCAAGGCGUCGACGGGUAGCCGGCCUGAGAGGGUGUACGGCCACAUUGGGACUGAGAUACGGCCCAGACUCCUACGGGAGGCAGCAGGGGGGAAUAUUGCACAAUGGGCGCAAGCCUGAUGCAGCGACGCCGCGUGGGGGAUGACGGCCUUCGGGUUGUAAACUCCUUUCGCUAGGGACGAAGCGUUUUUGUGACGGUACCUGGAGAAGAAGCACCGGCUAACUACGUG